This 210-nucleotide ribosomal RNA is filed under the name Garciamycella cyclaminis. Its description in RNAcentral is "[Phialophora] cyclaminis partial large subunit ribosomal RNA". Lineage: Eukaryota; Fungi; Ascomycota; Sordariomycetes; Sordariales; Schizotheciaceae. The record is from RNAcentral.
AAGCGCUUGUGACCAGACUUGCGCCAGGCUGAUCAUCCGGUGUUCUCACCGGUGCACUCUGCCUGGCACAGGCCAGCAUCAGUUUUGGUGGGGGGAUAAAGGGCGCAGGAACGUAGCUCCUCCGGGAGUGUUAUAGCCUGUGUCGUAAUGCCCUCGCCGGGACUGAGGACCGCGCAUCUGCAAGGAUGCUGGCGUAAUGGUCAUCAACGA